This 253-nucleotide ribosomal RNA is filed under the name uncultured Olsenella sp. RNAcentral describes it as "partial 16S ribosomal RNA". It matches the Rfam family "Bacterial small subunit ribosomal RNA", at positions 524 to 776 of the family's 1533-position model. The record is from RNAcentral. Lineage: Bacteria; Bacillati; Actinomycetota; Coriobacteriia; Coriobacteriales; Atopobiaceae.
UACGUAUGGGGCAAGCGUUAUCCGGAUUCAUUGGGCGUAAAGAGCGCGUAGGCGGAUUGUUAAGUCAGAUGUGAAAUCCGGGGGCUCAACCCGCGGUCUGCAUCUGAAACUGGCAGUCUUGAGUCUGGUAGAGGAAAGUGGAAUUCCCAGUGUAGCGGUGAAAUGCGCAGAUAUUGGGAGGAACACCAGUGGCGAAGGCGGCUUUCUGGGCCACGACUGACGCUGAGGCGCGAAAGCUAGGGGAGCAAACAGG